RNAcentral lists this microRNA precursor (98 nucleotides) under Marmota monax (woodchuck). Lineage: Eukaryota; Metazoa; Chordata; Mammalia; Rodentia; Sciuridae. The record is from RNAcentral.
CCAGAGCAUGCUGUAUGAAUAUAUAAUAGUAUGCCCAGUUUUCUUGUGUGGUUUGUGGAAACUGGUCACAUUACUUUAUAGCCACACCACAUAUAUUU